AUUGAACGCUGGCGGCAUGCUUUACACAUGCAAGUCGAACGGCAGCGCGGGCUUCGGCCUGGCGGCGAGUGGCGAACGGGUGAGUAAUACAUCGGAACGUGCCCAGUAGUGGGGGAUAGCUCGGCGAAAGCCGGAUUAAUACCGCAUACGACCUGAGGGUGAAAGCGGGGGAUCUUCGGACCUCGCGCGAUUGGAGCGGCCGAUGGCCGAUUAGCUAGUUGGUGGGGUAAAGGCCUACCAAGGCGACGAUCGGUAGCUGGUCUGAGAGGACGACCAGCCACACUGGGACUGAGACACGGCCCAGACUCCUACGGGAGGCAGCAGUGGGGAAUUUUGGACAGAGGGCGAAAGCCUGAUCCAGCAAUGCCGCGUGUGUGAUGAAGGCCUUCGGGUUGUAAAGCACUUUUGGCGGGAACGAAAAGGACUGUGCCAAUACCACGGUUCGAUGACGGUACCCGCAGAAUAAGCACCGGCUAACUACGUG
RNAcentral lists this ribosomal RNA (484 nucleotides) under uncultured bacterium. RNAcentral's name for it is "partial 16S ribosomal RNA". It matches the Rfam family "Bacterial small subunit ribosomal RNA", at positions 29 to 507 of the family's 1533-position model. The record is from RNAcentral.